UACGGAGGGUGCAAGCGUUAUCCGGAUUCACUGGGUUUAAAGGGUGCGUAGGUGGGCUAGUAAGUCCGUGGUGAAAUCUCUGAGCUUAACUCGGAAACUGCCGUGGAUACUAUUAGUCUUGAAUGUUGUGGAGGUAAGCGGAAUAUGUCAUGUAGCGGUGAAAUGCUUAGAUAUGACAUAGAACACCGAUAGCGAAGGCAGCUUGCUACACAAUUAUUGACACUGAGGCACGAAAGCGUGGGGAUCAAACAGG
This 253-nucleotide ribosomal RNA is filed under the name uncultured bacterium. RNAcentral describes it as "partial 16S ribosomal RNA". It matches the Rfam family "Bacterial small subunit ribosomal RNA", at positions 524 to 776 of the family's 1533-position model. The record is from RNAcentral. RNAcentral also lists the same sequence under 1 other name.